This 509-nucleotide long non-coding RNA is filed under the name Capsicum annuum. RNAcentral describes it as "long non-coding RNA (CANN_LNC005574)". Lineage: Eukaryota; Viridiplantae; Streptophyta; Magnoliopsida; Solanales; Solanaceae. The record is from RNAcentral.
GGGAACUUGCAUGAUCAAGCCUGCGUAGAAAAAAUUGAUGACGAUGUUGGUGCUUCUGAUUCUCCAUCUACACCUAUCGAUUUAAGUGACAGUGCUAUGGUUAGAACACAAGUUGGUGCUUCUGAUUUUCCAUCUACACCUGUUGAUUUAAAUGAUAGUGAUAUGGUUAGAACACAAGGUGCUGAUCGUGGAUUAGAUAUUCAAAUCUCCAGUAAGGAGGUUACAUCUGUCCAAUCCGAUGUGGAGAAGAAGCUUCCUGAACCUACCACAAAAUCGAUCGAGCCUACUAAGUGUGACGGGAACUUGCAUGAUCAAGCCUGCGUAGAAAAAACUGAUGACGGUGUUGGUGCUUUUGAUUCUCCAUCUACACCUGUCGAUUUUAGUGAUAGUGCUAUGGUUAGAACACAAGGUGCUGAUUGUGGAUUAGAUAUUCAAAUCUCCGGUAAGGAGGCUACACCUGUCCAAUCCAAUGUGGAGAAGAAGCUGCCUGAAUCAACCAAAAAAUCGAU